Transfer RNA from Camelus ferus (Wild Bactrian camel), 73 nucleotides. It matches the Rfam family "tRNA". From Rfam's summary of the family: Transfer RNA (tRNA) molecules are approximately 80 nucleotides in length. Their secondary structure includes four short double-helical elements and three loops (D, anti-codon, and T loops). The record is from Rfam. NCBI's taxonomy places the organism in Eukaryota, Metazoa, Chordata, Mammalia, Artiodactyla, Camelidae.
GAGGGGAUAGCUCAAUUGGUAGAGCACGUGCUUAGCAUGCAUGAGGUCCUGGGUUCAAUCCCCAGUACCUCCU